UAUUAAAUACUAAACUAGGGUGAUUAAACACUGUCACGUGACGUGCAAUAUAUUGCACAAUAUAUAUAACAUAUUCAUAUCAGGUUCAAAGUAGUACGAGUGUAGUUUCAAAAUGGUAUUUGUUGUAGAAGCACGGUAAAAAAAACAACACUUACCAUGCUUUUUACCACAGUAUUGGUAGUUUUAAUGUGAUUUUUGUUGUAAAUACAGAGUAACCACAACACUUAUCAUGCUUUUAAUGCCUAAUAAUGUUAAAUCCAAAAACUGUAAGGUCAAUAAGAACUUCUUUCCUAUAUAUAUUUAUAUAUAAACCUAUAUAUUAUAAAUAAUGAUAUUUUCUUUUCUCUUGUUUUAGCUGAAAAGACAAAAAGGGCCUUUCGGAAAUGGAUGAAGGAGACAGAAAGCUGCAAAGGCAAAUAAUUGCAAUGAAGGAAAUCCUACAGUUAUGUAUGAACUCACAACAUCAUCAUCAAGUGCUGUGCUGGGCACAUUGGGUAACAAGUGUCCUCCAACGUAUCCAAUCUGUGACCACAUUCUCCACAUCUUCCCAUGGGACACCGACAUUCUUCAGGCCUUCGUUUCCAUGUCUUCCCUGCAUUCUCCUGGUGGUGUCCACUUCAUAUCUGUCUUUGGGUGUUGUUGUUUGGUCAUGCUUAGGAUGUGUCCAGGGAGGUGCACCCUUCACUCUGUCACAGUUUUUAAAAGUCUUCACGUGGACUCCUCCUUAUGAUCUCCUUGAAACGUGCAGAACCAAUAUUGAAAAUAGUAAUUUAUCUUUUUCCAUAUUCUUGCCUUUAUCAAAGAAGCACCAGUGCUCAUCCGGAGUUUUGGUAAAAGACAUAUUCAUUGCCAUCCACUAGUUCUAGUAAUGCUGCGACUAUAGUCAAAUAUGUAUUUCUGCAUGUGUGUAUAGCAGGUGUUUGUCCGAACGAUUGAAGUUAGUGAGAGGAAAACCCUCUGAGAACAAUCAAUAUUUAUUUAAUUCUGUUUGGUGCUGAUAUAGAGUAUUACAGAAAUGACACAUUGACAUUCUGGACAUUAUUCUGUGAGUUUGUUACCUCUACAUUUAGAUGGACUUGAAAAUGUCUUGCACCUUUUAUUACAGUGUCACUAUAGUAAAUGUCCACCUUAACUACAUCUAUGGUAUCAUUAUAUCAGUACCUGGAUAAUGUAAAUGUAACAUACCCAUGAAUGUAUUUUAUAGAAGCAUUUUAUUGCUGAAAAUAUUUAACAUUUAUAAAAUGCAUUAACUAUU
This is a long non-coding RNA of Megalobrama amblycephala (Wuchang bream), 1255 nucleotides long. RefSeq lists it as uncharacterized. The record is from RefSeq and is a predicted model, not a curated record. The transcript has 2 exons. Lineage: Eukaryota; Metazoa; Chordata; Actinopteri; Cypriniformes; Xenocyprididae.